This 279-nucleotide unclassified non-coding RNA is filed under the name plant metagenome. RNAcentral's name for it is "partial contains small subunit ribosomal RNA, internal transcribed spacer 1, and 5.8S ribosomal RNA". The record is from RNAcentral.
UUUCCGUAGGUGAACCUGCGGAAGGAUCAUUACCGUAUAACCGAGGUGCGCGGGCUGUCGCUGGCCCGAACGGCCGGGCGCGCACGAGAGCCCCCCCACCCACCCAUCUCACCCCCAUUUUCUUCACCGCACGCGUCGCCCUCCGGCGUGGGCGCAACGUGCCGUACGUAUUUACCAAAACUUUGUAUGCAGCUUAGAUUGUAUUUUUUGUUAUUGCGAUUACGCAAUCCAUACAACUUUCAACAACUUAUCUCUUGGCUCUCUCAUCAAUGCAGAAGG